UAGGGAAUCUUCCGCAAUGGGCGAAAGCCUGACGGAGCAACGCCGCGUGAGUGAUGAAGGUCUUCGGAUCGUGAAACUCUGUUAUUAGGGAAGAACAAAUGUGUAAGUAACUAUGCACGUCUUGACGGUACCUAAUCAGAAAGCCACGGCUAACUACGUGCCAGCAGCCGCGGUAAUACGUAGGUGGCAAGCGUUAUCCGGAAUUAUUGGGCGUAAAGCGCGCGUAGGCGGUUUUUUAAGUCUGAUGUGAAAGCCCACGGCUCAACCGUGGAGGGUCAUUGGAAACUGGAAAACUUGAGUGCAGAAGAGGAAAGUGGAAUUCCAUGUGUAGCGGUGAAAUGCGCAGAGAUAUGGAGGAACACCAGUGGCGAAGGCGACUUUCUGGUCUGUAACUGACGCUGAUGUGCGAAAGCGUGGGGAUCAAACAGG
RNAcentral lists this ribosomal RNA (429 nucleotides) under Pseudomonas sp. RNAcentral's name for it is "partial 16S ribosomal RNA". It matches the Rfam family "Bacterial small subunit ribosomal RNA", at positions 355 to 776 of the family's 1533-position model. RNAcentral also lists the same sequence under 1 other name. Lineage: Bacteria; Pseudomonadati; Pseudomonadota; Gammaproteobacteria; Pseudomonadales; Pseudomonadaceae. The record is from RNAcentral.